RNAcentral lists this ribosomal RNA (580 nucleotides) under uncultured rumen bacterium. RNAcentral's name for it is "bacterial SSU rRNA". It matches the Rfam family "Bacterial small subunit ribosomal RNA", at positions 214 to 791 of the family's 1533-position model. The record is from RNAcentral.
GUCGGAUACGGAUGGGCUCGCGAGACAUUAGCUAGUCGGCGUGGUAACGGCACACCGAGGCGACGAUGUCUAGGGGUUCUGAGAGGAAGGUCCCCCACACUGGAACUGAGACACGGUCCAGACUCCUACGGGAGGCAGCAGUGAGGAAUAUUGGUCAAUGGGCGCAAGCCUGAACCAGCCAUGCCGCGUGAAGGAAUAAGGCCCUAUGGGUCGUAAACUUCUUUUGUGGUGGAGCAAUAAGGUGCACGUGUGCAUCGAUGAGAGUACAUCACGAAUAAGCAUCGGCUAACUCCGUGCCAGCAGCCGCGGUAAUACGGAGGAUGCAAGCGUUAUCCGGAUUUAUUGGGUUUAAAGGGUGCGUAGGCUGUUCGACAAGUCAGGGGUGAAAGCCCAGUGCCUAACACUGGAACUGCCUUUGAUACUGCCGAGCUGGAAUACGGAUGCCGUGGGAGGAAUGAGUAGUGUAGCGGUGAAAUGCAUAGAUAUUACUCAGAACACCGAUUGCGAAGGCAUCUCACGAAUCCGUCAUUGACGCUGAGGCACGAAAGCGUGGGGAUCAAACAGGAUUAGAUACCCUGGU